GACGAACGCUGGCGGCGUGCUUAACACAUGCAAGUCGAACGGUGAAGGGACCGGUUUUUGCUGGUUCUGGAUGAGUGGCGAACGGGUGAGUAACACGUGAGUAACCUGCCCCCUUCUUCUGGAUAACCGCAUGAAAGUGUGGCUAAUACGGGAUAUUCUGCGCCUGCUGCAUGGUGGGUGUGGGAAAGAUAUUGUUUCGGUGGGGGAUGGGCUCGCGGCCUAUCAGCUUGUUGGUGGGGUGAUGGCCUACCAAGGCGGUGACGGGUAGCCGGCCUGAGAGGGUGGACGGUCACACUGGGACUGAGCCACGGCCCAGACUCCUACGGGAGGCAGCAGUGGAGAAUAUUGCACAAUGGGCGCAAGCCUGAUGCAGCGACGCCGCGUGAGGGAUGGAGGCCUUCGGGUUGUAAACCUCUUUCGCCAGUGAAGCAGGCCUGUCCCUUUUGUGGGUGGGUUGACGGUAGCUGGAUAAGAAGCGCCGGCUAACUACGUG
This 493-nucleotide ribosomal RNA is filed under the name uncultured bacterium. RNAcentral describes it as "partial 16S ribosomal RNA". It matches the Rfam family "Bacterial small subunit ribosomal RNA", at positions 28 to 507 of the family's 1533-position model. The record is from RNAcentral.